GCAAAUUACCCACUCCCGGCACGGGGAGGUAGUGACAAAAAUAACGAUACGGGACUCAUCCGAGGCCCCGUAAUCGGAAUGAGCACACUUUAAAUCCUUUAACGAGUAUCCAUUGGAGGGCAAGUCUGGUGCCAGCAGCCGCGGUAAUUCCAGCUCCAAUAGCGUAUAUUAAAGUUGUUGCGGUUAAAAAGCUCGUAGUCGGACUUGUGUCACACGCUGCCGGUUCACCGCCCGUCGGUGUCUAACUGGCAUGCACGUGCUGACGUCCUGCCGGUGGCCCGAGCCGGCCCGGGAGUCUGGGUGCGGGAUUCCCUUCGGGGGCCCGCCUCGAACCCGGUGUCCGGGGAGGGCCUACUCAUACCCCUCGCGGUGCUCUUAACCGAGUGUCUCGAUGGGCCGGCACGUUUACUUUGAACAAAUUAGAGUGCUUAAAGCAGGCAGCAUCCGCCUGAAUACUGAGUGCAUGGAAUAAUGGAAUAGGACCUCGGUUCUAUUUUGUUGGUUUUCGGAAUCCCCGAGGUAAUGAUCAAUAGGGACAGACGGGGGCAUUCGUAUUGCGACGUUAGAGGUGAAAUUCUUGGAUCGUCGCAAGACGGACCGAAGCGAAAGCAUUUGCCAAGAAUGUUUUCUCUGAUCAAGAACGAAAGUUAGAGGUUCGAAGGCGAUCAGAUACCGCCCUAGUUCUAACCAUAAACGAUGCCAGCCAGCAAUCCGCCGAAGUUCCUCCGAUGACUCGGCGGGCGGCUUCCGGGAAACCAAAGCUUUUGGGUUCCGGGGGAAGUAUGGUUGCAAAGCUGAAACUUAAAGGAAUUGACGGAAGGGCACCACCAGGAGUGGAGCCUGCGGCUUAAUUUGACUCAACACGGGAAACCUCACCAGGCCCGGACACCGGGAGGAUUGACAGAUUGAGAGCUCUUUCUUGAUUCGGUGGGUGGUGGUGCAUGGCCGUUCUUAGUUGGU
Molecule: ribosomal RNA, 960 nt
Filed under: Geoscapheus woodwardi
Lineage: Eukaryota; Metazoa; Arthropoda; Insecta; Blattodea; Blaberidae
Description: SSU rRNA
Rfam family: Eukaryotic small subunit ribosomal RNA
Source: RNAcentral